AUUGAACGCUGGCGGCAGGCCUAACACAUGCAAGUCGAACGAGUGGGGGACGGGUGAGUAGUGUGGGGGAAUAUGCAUGAUAGAGGGGGAUAACUACUGGAAAUGGUAGAAAAUAGCGCAUACCAUAAGAUGAUCCCCGAUGGGAUUAGCUUGUUGGUGGUGUCACGGCUCAUAAAGGCGACGAUCCCUAGGGUGUAUGAGAGGAUGACCGGCCACACUGGAAAUGAGACACGGUCCAGAGUCCUACGGGAGGCAGCAGUGGGGAAUAUUGCACAAGGGGCGCAAGCCUGAUGCAGCCAGGCCGUGUGUAUGAAGAAGGACUUCGGGUUGUAAAGUACGUUCAGCGGGGAGGCGUUACCCGAAGAAGAAGGACCGGCUAACUCCGGGCCAGCAGCCGCGGUAAUGC
RNAcentral lists this ribosomal RNA (406 nucleotides) under uncultured bacterium. RNAcentral describes it as "partial 16S ribosomal RNA". It matches the Rfam family "Bacterial small subunit ribosomal RNA", at positions 29 to 526 of the family's 1533-position model. The record is from RNAcentral.